This 497-nucleotide ribosomal RNA is filed under the name uncultured bacterium. RNAcentral describes it as "partial 16S ribosomal RNA". It matches the Rfam family "Bacterial small subunit ribosomal RNA", at positions 28 to 507 of the family's 1533-position model. The record is from RNAcentral.
GAUGAACGCUGUCUUCGUGCCUAACACAUGCAAGUCGAGCGAACAGACGAGGAGCUUGCUCCUCUGACGUUAGCGGCGGACGGGUGAGUAACACGUGGAUAACCUACCUAUAAGACUGGGAUAACUUCGGGAAACCGGAGCUAAUACCGGAUAAUAUAUUGAACCGCAUGGUUCAAUAGUGAAAGACGGUUUUGCUGUCACUUAUAGAUGGAUCCGCGCCGCAUUAGCUAGUUGGUAAGGUAACGGCUUACCAAGGCGACGAUGCGUAGCCGACCUGAGAGGGUGAUCGGCCACACUGGAACUGAGACACGGUCCAGACUCCUACGGGAGGCAGCAGUAGGGAAUCUUCCGCAAUGGGCGAAAGCCUGACGGAGCAACGCCGCGUGAGUGAUGAAGGUCUUCGGAUCGUAAAACUCUGUUAUUAGGGAAGAACAAAUGUGUAAGUAACUAUGCACGUCUUGACGGUACCUAAUCAGAAAGCCACGGCUAACUACGUG